RNAcentral lists this long non-coding RNA (206 nucleotides) under Elaeis guineensis (African oil palm). Its description in RNAcentral is "long non-coding RNA (EGUI_LNC026064)". Lineage: Eukaryota; Viridiplantae; Streptophyta; Magnoliopsida; Arecales; Arecaceae. The record is from RNAcentral.
GGCUUCAAGGAACCACUAGCCGUAGGCUGGGCAAGAACGGCCUCAGUUCAGCCGCACUUUAGAGCAGGGUCUGCACUCACCUUCUUCCUUUGGCAGCCCAAUGAAGAGCUUCAACGUCCUCAAGUCUCAUUGCUGCACAAAAGAUGAGGUUAACUGAAAAGAAAAAAAAAGUGCCGAACUAAAAAAAUCAAAAUCCACUUACUCAC